This 497-nucleotide ribosomal RNA is filed under the name uncultured bacterium. Its description in RNAcentral is "partial 16S ribosomal RNA". It matches the Rfam family "Bacterial small subunit ribosomal RNA", at positions 28 to 507 of the family's 1533-position model. The record is from RNAcentral.
GAUGAACGCUGGCGGCGUGCCUAAUACAUGCAAGUCGAGCGAACAGACGAGGCGCUUGCUCCUCUGACGCUAGCGGCGGACGGGUGAGUAACACGUGGAUACCCUACCUAUAAGACUGGGAUAACUUCGCGAAACCGGAGCCAAUACCGGAUAAUAUAUUGAACCGCAUGGUUCAAUAGUGAAAGACGGUUCUGCUGUCACUUAUUGAUGGAUCCGCGCCGCAUUAGCUAGUUGGUAAGGUAACGGCUUACCAAGGCGACGAUGCGUAGCUGACCUGAGAGGAUGAUCAGCCACACUGGAACUGAGACACGGUCCAGACUCCUACGGGAGGCAGCAGUAGGGAAUCUUCCGCAAUGGGCGAAAGCCUGACGGAGCAACGCCGCGUGAGUGAAGAAGGUCUUCGGAUCGUAAAACUCUGUUAUUAGGGAAGAACAAAAGUGUAAGUAACUAUGCACGUCUUGACGGUACCUAAUCAGAAAGCCACGGCUAACUACGUG